RNAcentral lists this ribosomal RNA (847 nucleotides) under Magnisphaera stevemossago. RNAcentral describes it as "eukaryotic LSU rRNA". It matches the Rfam family "Eukaryotic large subunit ribosomal RNA", at positions 56 to 949 of the family's 3401-position model. Lineage: Eukaryota; Fungi; Ascomycota; Sordariomycetes; Microascales; Halosphaeriaceae. The record is from RNAcentral.
AAGAACCAAUGCGAUUGCCUCAGUAACGGCGAGUGAAGCGGCAACAGCUCAAAUUUGAAAUCUGGCCCCAGCGGUCCGAGUUGUAAUUUGCAGAGGAUGCUUUUGGCAAGGUGCCUUCCGAGUUCCCUGGAACGGGACGCCAUAGAGGGUGAGAGCCCCGUACGGUCGGUUGCCGAGCCUCUGUAAAGCUCCUUCGACGAGUCGAGUAGUUUGGGAAUGCUGCUCUAAAUGGGAGGUAAACCCCUUCUAAAGCUAAAUAUUGGCCAGAGACCGAUAGCGCACAAGUAGAGUGAUCGAAAGAUGAAAAGCACUUUGAAAAGAGAGUUAAAUAGCACGUGAAAUUGUUGAAAGGGAAGCGCUUGUGACCAGACUUGUGCCUGGCAGCUCAGCCGUCCUUUUGGGCGGUGCAUUCUGCCGGCUCAGGCCAGCAUCAGUUCGUGGUUGGGGAGAAAGGCGGUGGGAACGUGGCUCUUCGGAGUGUUAUAGCCCGCCGCUAUGCCCUUCUGCGGACUGAGGUUCGCGCUCUGCAAGGAUGCUGGCGUAAUGGUCAUCAGCGACCCGUCUUGAAACACGGACCAAGGAGUCGUCCUAAUAUGCGAGUGUUCGGGUGCCAAACCCCUGCGCGUAAUGAAAGUGAACGGAGGUGAGAGCUUCGCGCAUCAUCGACCGAUCCUGAUGUUCUCGGAUGGAUUUGAGUAAGAGCAUAUUGGGCCGGACCCGAAAGAAGAUGAACUAUGCGUGGAUAGGUAAAGCCAGAGGAAACUCUGGUGGAGCUCCCAGCGGUUCUGACGUGCAAUCGAUCGUCAAUCUGCGCAUGGGGGCGAAAGACUAAUCGAAUCUUCUAUAC